Molecule: RNA transcript, 4867 nt
Organism: Quercus robur (English oak)
Lineage: Eukaryota; Viridiplantae; Streptophyta; Magnoliopsida; Fagales; Fagaceae
Gene name: disease resistance protein RGA2-like
Exons: 7
Source: RefSeq, a predicted model, not a curated record
UAUAUUUUUUUUAUUAUUAUUUUAUUAUUCUUUCUGCUAGUGCUGCGCAAAGAACAAUCCAGCCUCUUCGAGUUAUAUUACAUUACUACUCAAUUCUGUGAUAUCUGUAGACAGUAUUCACAAGCACAUCUGUAAUCUGUUGAGGAGUAAUCUCCAGAGAAAGAGAAAUGGCCGAGGCAGUUGUCUCCAGCGUUGUAGAAGCACUCAUUUCAAACUUGACUUCCGGUCCUAUCCAGCAGUUUAGAGGGUAUAUGAAUGUGGAAGAGGAACUUGGGAGGCUCCAGCAGGCUGUUUCCAGAAUCCAACCUGUUCUUUUGGAUGCAGAGGAGAGGUACACUCAGAGCUAUGAGGUCAAAAUUUGGCUUGGAAAGCUUAAAGAUGCAUUUGAUGAUGCUGAUGACUUAGUGGAUGAUUUCUCCACUGAGGCUCUGCGGCGAGAACUGAUGCACCGGGGUAGAAGCUUAAAACUGGUACGUAUCUUCUUAUCCAAGCUUGCAUAUGGUUCAAAAAGGCUGCCUAAGUUUAAAGCAGUUAAUAAGAGAAUAGAGAAAAUUGCGUCCGAAGGUGAUAGAUUCCAGUUUAAUAACCGGCGUCCUGAGAUGAAGGAGAGAAGAGUGACUCUAUCUUCUCCUUCGUCACGCGAGGUAGAGAUUAUUGGGAGAGAGAAGGAAAAGAGUGCAAUUGUAGAUGAUCUAGUGAAAGUGGAUAAUAUCCGUGACAAAGCAAAUGUCUCAGUGAUUUCAAUAGUUGGGAGUGCAGGUGUGGGAAAGACUGCACUAGCUCAAUUUGCAUACCAUCAUGAGACUGUGAGAAAACAUUUCGAGCUACGAUUAUGGGUGUGUGUCACUGACUCCUUUGAUUUGAAAACUAUUGUUGAAGAGAUUGUGGAAUCAGCAGCCGCAGCCGGGGACGGGGAGAGACUGGAAAAUCUCGGGUUGAGUUCGUUGUUGGUGCGCGUUCGAAUAAUGAUUGAUGGGAAGCGGUUUUUACUUGUACUGGAUGAUGUAUGGAAUGAAGAUGAUGAAAAAUGGUCCAGCUUGAAAAAACUGUUAAUGUGUGGCGCGAGGGGAAGUAAGAUUGUGACUACUACACGUAGUAAUGUGGUUGCAGACAUUAUGCGCACGGUUCCAAUGUUUGUUUUGGAACCUCUGUCGUUCAAUGAUUCACUGGCUUUAUUUAAGAAGAUGGCAUUUGGAGACGGAGAGGAGCGAACGAGUGAAGCUCUUGAAUCCAUUGGGCAGGAGAUUGUACAGAAAUAUGCUGGUGUUCCUCUUGCCAUAAGGACUAUAGGGAGUCUGUUAUACUUCAAAAAUUUAGAAGGGGAUUGGUUGAAAUUCCAGCAGGAUGAACUUCCAAAAAUUUUACAACAAGAAAAUGAUAUUUCUGCAAUACUUAAGUUGAGUUACGAUCAUCUCCCGUCGCAUUUGAAACAAUGUUUUGCUUACUGUAGAUUGUUUCCUAAAGAUUAUGAAAUUGAUGUACAAAAACUGAUUAAACUUUGGAUGGGGCAAGGGUUUCUCAUUUCAUCAAACAAAGAUCAAUCUCUAGAAGAUGUUGGUUAUAUGUAUUUUAUGGAUCUAUUCCAGAGGUCCUUUUUCCAAGAGGUAGAAAAAGAUGAAUGGGGCAUUGUAAGAAGUUGCAAAAUGCCAAAAAUCUUGCAUGAUCAUGCAAUUUUAGUGGCAGGGGUUGUGAGCUGUGCGUCAAAUCCAAAUGGGGACAAUUUAAAUGAUAGAGUCCGUCAUGUGUCAUUCGAUUUUAAUUUGGAUUCAUCACAGCAAUUUGUGAGACGCUUGCUUAAAGCCAAGAGAAUACAGACAUUUCUAUUGCCUAGUCAAUCAUGGCUUCGAAACGAAGAAAAGUUCAGCAAGUUCACUUGUAGAGCAAUUUUUUCAGGAUGCAAGUGUUUACGUGUGUUGGAUUUACAUGAUUCAGGGAUCAAGGAGGUUCCAAGUAGCCUCUGUAAGUUGAAGCAUUUAAGAUAUCUCGAUCUCUCUAAUAAUGGAAUCAAAAAGCUUCCAAGUUCCAUAACCAGCCUGCUGAAUUUGCAAACAUUGAAACUUUCGAAUUGUGAUGUGCUUAAAGAAUUGCCAAUGGACAUUAAAAAUUUAGUCAGGCUUCGGCAUCUUGAGAUUGAUGGCUGUGAUAAAUUGGCUCAAAUGCCAUGUGGACUGGGACAAUUGACUUCUCUUCAGACAUUAUCUUUAUUUGUAUUAAGGAGUCAGUCUGUCUACAGACAGAGUGGCAAGCUAAGUGAACUGAAGAGGCUAAACAACUUGAGCAGAGGGCUUGAGAUUUUACAUCUAGAACAGUUGUCAGAUGCUUCAACAGAAACUAAGAAUGCAAAUUUGAAGGAGAAACAAAGUCUUCGAGCCUUGACUCUAAGAUGGUAUCGACAAGAUGAUGCUGAUGUUGAUGUGGAGAGUGACGAGAAGUCAUUGGAAGGCCUCCAGCCACAUCGAAAUCUGAAAACGUUGUGGGUGAUAGGGUAUGGGGGUAUGAAGUUUCCAAGUUGGCUAUCUUCUCUCGUAUAUCUUGUUAAAUUUACUCUCUGCAAUUGUCUCAAGUUCCAGCAUCUACCGCCAUUAGAUCAACUCUCUUUUCUCAAGAGUCUUAAACUUCAAAGGUUGCAUGCCCUGGAGUACAUAACAGGCAGUGGUGGAAAAGACAAGUUCUCUUCUUCAGCAGUAUCAAUAACAUUCUUCCCAUCCUUAAAGGAACUUGUACUUUGGGAUUGUCCCAAUCUGAAGGGAUGGUGGAGGGAUGUUCCAGUUGGUGAUGAUAAGAGUGCUGUUAGAACAACACAAUCAUCAAUGACAGAUCAUCAACAACAGUAUCUAUUGCUGCCUUCAUUUCCCUGUCUUUCAAAAUUAGAAAUCCAGUUUUGUCCAAUGCUGAAUUCCAUUCCCUUCUAUCCACAUCUUGAUGAACAGCUGGUCCUGAGUAAUGCCAAGCUGACACUUUUGCAACAGACAAUGUGGUAUAUGGCAGCAUCACAAGGCCCAACAACUGUAGAUAUGUCAGUUCAUUCUUCUACUCUGCCCUCUUCCUCCUUGGGCCCUCUUUCCAAAUUAAAUUCUUUGACUUUAACUGGCAUUAAGGAGCUAGAGUGUUUGCAAGAUGAAUGGCUGCAAAACCUCACUUCUCUUGAGCGUCUCAGCAUUUCAGGGUGCCCAAGACUAAUGUUCUUAUCACAAGGUAUUCAGUAUCUCACCUCCCUUAAGUUUAUGGACAUUAGGGACUGCGAGGAGCUUGAUCUUUCCAGCGAUGAAGGUGAUGGCCAGCGAUGGAAAGGACUGAGGAACCUCUGUUCCCUCACUAUUUGGGGAAUCCCAAAGUUGAAGACUCUCCCGAAUGGGCUGCAAUAUGUUAUGCCUCUUGAAAAGCUCCGGAUCCUAAAUUGUCCAAAUUUAAUAGCUCUAGAAGACUGGAUCAGCAGUUUCACAUCUCUUAAUAGGCUUGUUAUUUCUAAAUGCCGCAAAUUGGCUUUGCUGCCUCAUGGAAUGAGUAGCCUUAAGUCUUUACGUAGACUGGUGAUUGAUGAUUGUCCCAUGUUAUUGCGAAGAUGCCAGGGGGAAACUGGUGAGGAUUUGCACAAGAUUAAACACAUCCCAGAAAUUUCUGAAAGGCUGACUUCUCGGGACUUUGAUUAAUCUCUUGUUUCAUGCUUCAUUCAGCUUGUUUAGAACCAAAUACUGCUGAUAGAGAGUUGGGGUUCAUUAGACAUCUUUGGCAGAUGAAAUAAGAACAGCUUGUACAAAAUGGAACAUGGUGGAGGAUGCGGAUCAAGAUAGAUUGAAGAAUUCCUGUAUUAACGGCAUUAAAGGGCUACCAAACCCAAUCGACCAAUAAAAAGACUACCCCACAAACUCCGGACCAACUGAGAGUCAAUACUGUCUACCUCAGUUUCCUGUAAGCAGAUGGCAGACCACAUCGCAAUUCCGGACCCACAACAAAAUUCUUCACCAAUCUUUUCUAUUUCCACAAAACUUCCUUCUCCAUAAGAGCUUAAAGAAUGGUGGUUUCGAGUUACUCCUCCAAAGAGUCAACAUUCCACUUCAAACCUUUCUGGCCCAUAUAUUAUAUAACAGUGAAGAAAAUGCAGUGCUGGAAGUCAAUGUACAGCUUUUCCAGAUGAGAACUAAGUGAAGCGGUACACUCAGAUCCAAUUGUUGAAUAAUGUGCCAGACGCAUCACUUCUAUCUCCGGUAUAGUCACCUCUACAAUCUUACAGACAAGAAGAACUUCGCAGACAGGUACCUUGUUCAUACCGAAGAGUUGAUUUAUCCGCUUGCCUUAAAAUAUCUUCAGCAUUAUAGUCUAUAAAAAACGACAUCCGUGAUGGAGGAUUAGAAGAUUCAUGCACAGCAGCUAUAAAUCGCUCCGCAACCUGUUCCAAGGGGAAAGUCAAGGCCUGUGAGUAUGGUACAACAUGUCAUCAUUUCCCUAAUAUUUCUCUUUCAAAAUCUUUGGGUGAGUGCCAAAUAUUUGCUUGUAGGAAACUCACAAUAGCUACAACAAGCACACAAACAUAAGGCAUAAGAAAUUCAUAAAAGCAUUUCAAAAUAUUUUUCAAGAUUUCAAUUAAGUUUGAAAGGCAAUUGUGUAAAUUACAAUUUAAUGAGUUCAUAUGUAAAUAGGAAAACAACAAUAUACCAUAAACAAAGUAGCUAAAGUUGGCAUACCAUCCGAGGAGUUAUUUCUUUCAAAUUAUAGGCUCUUGAAUAGUCCAGUAUUGUCCAAUGUUGAAAAGAAGAUUGUAAACCAUGUAAACUCUUUUCUGAAGAAUCAGGCAAACAAUCCAUUGCCUGUUGAACUUGUUCAGGUGGAGAUAAUUUAGAAUCUAUGCAUUUGACUUCUUGUUCUUUAA